CCUUAAGUAUGAGCAGCACCUGUGAAUUAACUCUAAGCACAUUUAACAGUGUUAAUGUUUGGGGUCUGGAGCCUAGGCCUCAGGAGUCCUUUCAGCCUCUGUCUUCCCCCACUUGGAAUCCUGCCCUGAGACUUCCAUGAACAGAAGCUGGUUCAGCCUCCAUGAGGAUAAAAAGCCUUGUGGAGGGAAACCAAGGUGCCCCAGACAACGGCCAGCAACAACUGCCAGGGUCUCAGGCCAAUGGACCAGUAGCCUGUGAUUCUGAUGAGCGCUCUGAAAACAGGUGAAAACUGUUCAUCCCUUCUUUGGCGUCCUCAUCACAGGUGGUAGAAUUGAACUGCUCCUAGCAGAACCUGGGAAGAAAUACCUCGAGUCAGUUUGUUUUCUGAGUUCUGCCACGGUUAACGGACUUCCUGUGCAGGAGAUGCAGCUGUAGCCUGGCCACAGAAACAGAAGCAUACAGUUUCCACCUCUGACAAUGAAAGCUGGGCCUCGUGAGAGCUGGGAAAACCUGGGUCUGAAUCUUCCCACUUAGCUCGAAGCUCCUGUCUGGACCACAGCAGCCAAUUCUCACAACAUACAGUAGGAUCACGGCGUGAAGAGCACUGACUUAGAAGCUGCAUACGAACACGGCAAAUGACCAGAGAGCAGACACACCAGCUCUGGUGGGACAGCGUUCCUUGGGGAAAACACAGAGACAGGAACAGAUGCUGAAGAUGAACAGCAGGGAUCUCUUGGGAAAAAAUAUAUCUUCAAACAAGGGAGAUCCAGAAAAGCUUUUGUCUUCCAGGCUAGACUAUAGCCUUCUAUGGCCAAGAUGGAAACAGUAAACCAGUUAUCCAAGGUCAAGCUGGGAGAACAUGGCCUCUGCAGAAGAACCCUGCUACCUGCAGCCUGUGAAAUGGUCUAGAAUCCCAGCAGCCCUGGCAAUGCCACAUGCACCAAGAUAGGCGCCACCAUCCAAUGACAUCUUGGCAGUCAGAGGGAGCUUGUGACUGUCAUCUGGAGGUGUGACAGCCAAGAGUGUGGCCCUGGGGAAAGCCCUUCACAUGGGUCUUUCCUUGUUGCAUUUAUAUUUAGCUCAAAUGAAAACCUAACAGUUGUUUUCCUCAGUGGUGGGUACCAACCACUAACUCAAAAGGAUAAGAAAUAAUUGUUAACCAUGCUUCCUGUUAGGACUUGUAGUCCUUGAAUUUGGGACCACAUUUCUCUAACAACUGGCUUCCCUCUACCUUGCCCAGGGGAUGUGCAGAAAUGUUUGUUGUAUUGAGUUAUUUUGAAGAAGAUAAGAGAGAAAAGACUUGAAUUCUGGUUCUCAGCUUUUUUUAAAAAAAAGUUUCUAUAUUUUAAUUUCCUAAAUUAAGAAGUAUUUCAUAUUGCAUUUGCAGUAGAUAAGCAAUGAGAGUCUGCUGAAUAGCACAGGGAACUAUAUCUAGUCCCUUGUGAUGGAACAUGAUGGAGGAUAAUGUGAGAAAAAGAAUAUACAUAUAUAUAUGUGUAUGACUGGGUCACUUUGCUGUAUAGUAGAAAUCGACAGAACACUGUAAAUCAACUAUAAUGGGAAAAAUAAAAAUCUUUAAAAAAGGGAAAUAUUUCAAACAUAUAGAAAGGACAGAAAAUUAAGCAGACCACCAUAUGCCUACCAUCUAGAUUAAACAGCUAUUAACAUUUUCCAUUUUAUGUUAUUAUUUAGGGCUGCACCCCUGGCAUAUGGAGGUUCCCAGGCUAGGGAAUGAAUCAGAGCUGCAGCUGCCAGCCUACACCACAGCCACAGCAACGUGGGAUAUGAACUGUGCCUCUGAACUUCAUCACAGCUUACUGGUAGCAAGGCCAGAUCCUUAACCUACUGAGUGAGGCCAGGGAUGGGACCUGCAUCCUCAAGGAUACUAGUCAGUUUUGUAAUCUGCUGAGCCACAACAGGAACUCCCAACGUUUUCCCAUUUAUUUUAGGUCCUGUGUAACAAAAGAUUAAAAAGAAAAUACAACUAGCCAGCUCCCCCCCACCUCCUUCACUCUUAUCCCUUCUCCUUCCCUCUGUAGAACUGUCUCUGCCUCCAGUUGGUAUAUGCUGUUCCUGUGCAUGAUUCUGGACUUUCACUAAGUAUCUGUGUGCAAAACAACAUUUACUAUCAUUUUAUGUACAUUCAGAACUUACUUAAAUGGCAUCAUGGUGUUUACAUUCUUUUGCAACUUUCUUUUCUUAUGUUAGGGUUAUAUGGAUACAGUGUAGACCCAGUGCAUUCUUUCUAACUGCAGCCUAGUACAUUGCAAUUUCUCCAUUUCUCUGUUGAGCGACAGGACAGUUAGUUGCUUUUCUGUGGUUGUUCUUGCAUUGUUGUUUCUUGUGCAUGUAUCUUUGCACAUGUACAAAAUUUCUUUAGUGUAUACCUAGAAGUGAAAUUGUCCUGUGUUAUGGAAUGUACUUCUUCCUUUCUUCAAUGUUGACAGAUCACUCUCCCAAGUGGUUGUACCAACUCACAUUCCUACCAGAUUGGAAAUUCCUAUUUUCCUGCAUCCUCACCAUCUCUUGUGAGACUUCAAAUUUUCCAAACUGUUAGAUGUAAAAGGCAUUUUAUUGUCUUAUUUUAUACUUUCCUGAUUACAUAUAGGAAUUCUGUGUUUGCUAACCAGUUGUGAGUGUGUGUGUGUGUGUGUGUGUGAGUGAGGGAGAGGAAAAGGGACAGAAAGACCACUUCUAAUCCUUUCCUCCUUAAAACAAAACAAAACAAAAACUGGUUUAUCCUUUUCUCAUACAUUUGCAUCUGUCCUGUAUUUAUUCUGAAGUUAUUGUUUGAAUUGCAAAUAUCUUCUCUCAAACUGUGUCUAGCCUUUUUAUUGUUUAUAUUAGCCUCUGUUAUAAAUAACUUUUUAAAUUUGAUGCAGUCAAAAUCAUAAACCCUUUAAAGAUUUGUGGGUAUUUGUUCUUUAUUUAAUAAAUCUGUUCCUGAUUCUACAUCCAAGAUAUUCUCCCAUAUUGUUUUCUAAAAAUUUUAAAAUUUUGCUCUUCACAUUUAAAUUUUUGUCCAUCUGGAAUUUACUUUUGCUUAUAUGGUGAAGUAGGAAUCUAAUUUUAUCUUUUCCCAAAUAGAAAGUUAAAUGUUUCAGCACCUCAUAAGGAUAGUCCAGCCUUUCUAAGUGUUUGAAAUGCCAUUUCUAUUAAAUACACAUUCCCUGUGUAAGUGGGUUAGUUCCUCGGCUCUCUAUACCGUUCUGUUGGUCCAUUUGUCUAUCCCUGAACCAUAACAUAACUUUAAGGUUAUUAUAGCUAAAAGCUACUCUUAGUAGUUGGUACAGUGAGUCUCCUCAUUCUUUGUCCUUGAAUUUGAUUUUUUGUUUUACAGCUUUAUUGAGAUGUAUUUAAUAAAUAACAUUUUCAAGUUGUACAAGGUGAUGAUUUGAUAUAUGUAUUGUGAAAUGAUUACCACGAUAGUAUUAGUUAACACGUCCUCAUGUUGUUACCAUCUGUGUGUGUAUGUGUUGAAAUAUUUAAGAUUUACUCUUAGCAAAUUUUAGGUAUAUAAUACAGUAUUGUUGACUAUACACUCAAGUUUGUUUUGACUCUCAUUAGUCCCUACCCUUCCAAUGUUUUAAGAUUAACUAGUUGAUUCCUAUGAAAAAUGCUAUUGAGGAGUUCCCGUCGUGGCGCAGUGGUUAACGAAUCUGACUAGGAACCAUGAGGUUGCGGGUUUAAUACCUUGCCUCGCUCAGUGGGUUAGGAAUCUGACAUCGCCGUGAGCUGUGGUGUAGGUUGCAGACUCGGCUCAGAUCCUGCAUUGCUGUGGCUCUGGCGUAGGCCAGUGGCUACAGCUCUGAUUCGACCCCUAACCUGGGAACCUCCAUAUGCCACGGGAGCGGCCCAAGAAAUGGCAAAAAAGACAAAAAAAAAAGAAAAAUGCUAUUGAGAUUGAUAAAGGCAGUGCAUCUAAAUAUAUUAAUAUGGGAGAAUUUUGCCAUUUGUAUAAUAUCAAAUCUUCCUGGUCAGAAAUGUGAUAUAUCUUUCUACAUAGGCCUCUUGAUAAAAGAUAUAUUUAUUUUAUUUAAUCUGGAUUUAUACUUUCCAUGUGAAGAUUUAUAUAUUUUUUUAGCUUUAUUAUGAGGGUUUUAUGGUGCUUGCUACAACUGCGAAUAGUAUCUUUCUGAAAACUGUGUUUUCUAACAAUUUGUUGCAGGUGUUCAGGAACCAUUUUUAAAAACAAUUUUAAAUUAGGCAACUUGUGGGAGUUCCCAUUGUGGUGCAGCAGAAACAAACCUGACCAGUAACCAUGAGGUUGCGGGUUCAAUCCCUGGCCUUGCUCAGUGGAUGGAUCUGGCCUUGCCAGGAGCUGUGCGUGGCUGUGGCUGUGGUGUAGGCCUGCAGCUCAGAGCUGGCGUGGCUGUGGCUGUGGUGUAGGCCUGCAGCUGCAGCUCUGAUGUAACCCCUAGCUUGGGAACCUCCAUAUGCCUCGGGUGCAGCC
This 4454-nucleotide long non-coding RNA is filed under the name Sus scrofa (pig). RNAcentral's name for it is "lncRNA (ENSSSCG00000059134.1)". Lineage: Eukaryota; Metazoa; Chordata; Mammalia; Artiodactyla; Suidae. The record is from RNAcentral.